CGUUGGCGGCGCGGAUUAGGCAUGCAAGUCGUGCGAGAAGCUUCCCUUCGGGGGAGUGGACAGCGGCGAAAGGGAGAGUAACGCGUGGAUUACCUACCCCCGAGUCCGGGAUAGCUGCGGGAAACUGCAAGUAAUACCGGAUAAUAUCCCCGGAUCAAAGGUGUGAUUCCGCUUGGGGACGGGUCCGCGUCCUAUUAGCUUGUUGGUGGGGUAACGGCCUACCAAGGCGACGAUGGGUACCGGGCGUGAGAGCGUGGCCCGGCUCACUGGGACUGAGACACUGCCCAGACACCUACGGGUGGCUGCAGUCGAGAAUCUUCGGCAAUGGACGCAAGUCUGACCGAGCGACGCCGCGUGCGGGAUGAAGGCCUUCGGGUUGUAAACCGCUGUCAGUUGGGAGGAAAUCCUAGGGGGCUAUCCCUCUAGGUUGACCUAUCUUCAGAGGAAGGACGGGCUAAGUUCGUGCCAGCAGCCGCGGUAAGACGAACCGUCCAAACGUUAUUCGGAAUCACUGGGCUUAAAGGGUGCGUAGGCGGUCCGGCAAGUUGGGUGUGAAAUCCCUCGGCUCAACCGAGGAAUUGCGCUCAAAACUGCCGGACUUGAGGGAGACAGAGGUGAGCGGAACUUAGGGUGGAGCGGUGAAAUGCGUUGAUAUCCUAAGGAACACCAGUAGCGAAAGCGGCUCACUGGGUCUCUUCUGACGCUCAGGCACGAAAGCUAGGGUAGCGAACGGGAUUAGAUACCCCGGUAGUCCUAGCUGUAAACGAUGAGCACUGGGUUGGAGGCUCCUCCAUAGGCUUCCAGCCGUAGCGAAAGUGUUAAGUGCUCCGCCUGGGGAGUAUGGUCGCAAGGCAA
RNAcentral lists this ribosomal RNA (855 nucleotides) under uncultured Planctomycetota bacterium. Its description in RNAcentral is "bacterial SSU rRNA". It matches the Rfam family "Bacterial small subunit ribosomal RNA", at positions 34 to 896 of the family's 1533-position model. The record is from RNAcentral. Lineage: Bacteria; Pseudomonadati; Planctomycetota.